CCCUUAGAUGUUCUGGGCCGCACGCGUGCUACACUGAACGGUUCAAUGGGUGAGGUAGUGCGAAAGCAUGACCCAAUCUCAAAAUCCGUUCGUGCUGGGGAUAGAAGCUUGCAAUUCUCCUUCUUGAACGAGGAAUACCUUGUAAGCGCGAGUCAUCAUCUCGCGCUGAAUACGUCCCUGCCCUUUGUACACACCGCCCGUCGCUCCUACCGAUUGAGUGGUCCGGUGAGGCUUUGGGAUCUGAGCGGAAAGAGCGUUUCGCUGUUUCUGCUCGGAAAACUCAGUCGAACCUUAUCAUUUAGAGGAAGGAGAAGUCGUAACA
RNAcentral lists this ribosomal RNA (322 nucleotides) under uncultured eukaryote. RNAcentral describes it as "partial 18S ribosomal RNA". It matches the Rfam family "Eukaryotic small subunit ribosomal RNA", at positions 1470 to 1796 of the family's 1831-position model. The record is from RNAcentral.